GACGACAACUAAGCACGAGUUGUAAACAACUAGCACGAGUUGUGAACAACUAAGCGUAGGUUGUAAAGUAAUGCCACUUGAUCUUAAGGAGGUUUAAGUUUUGCCUAUAAAUAGAGAUGGAAGUCUCAUUUGUAAAUCAUGUAGAGUUGAGUGAGUUUAUUCAUUAGAGAGAUUGUAAAGUUUUCCCUUUCAUUUAUACAAAGAAAAUUUCCCGACCUUACUUGUUUUUCAUAUAUCCCUUACUUCAAAAUUCUCUUCUUAACGUAGGUAUAAUUUAGCUUCCUUGAUUAAAUUAUUUGUAAGCGUGAAAAGGCUGACUUAACGUUUUCUCGUAAGGUGCGUGAAUUGUCAUGCGUUAAGGCCACACGAUUCUAGUUGUUCGAGUGUAACGAAACUAGGUCCCUGACACCAUGCUCUUGAUCGAACUGUCGAGACUAUUAGGGUUUUCUAUAAUUUUGAGUGAUUUCUAGCUUGGGUCUCAAAUCUGUAAAAUUUGGACGAUUUAUGGUUCUAGUUAAUGCAGUGAUUUCUUCUGAUGACGGAAGCACAAAAAGGGAUUAGGAGCUUACUCUGAACCUCUUGCCCUAGAGCAAAAAUUUCUCGUUGUCUUUACUAUUUUUCAUUUUUGUUUAAAUUUCUGUCAUUUUUGGUUUGAUCAAUUUUGCCUGAUACCUUGAACUAAUCGUAACACUAACUUAUACUUUUCAUUAUGACCAUGAUUCAAUAAUACUUAAUGUCUCAACAGUAAUAUCAAAAUCUAUUUUUUGUGCAAAAAUAGGGUACUAGACUAAUAAAAGACACGAUUGACUGCAAAUAUGCUGGACUUGCUUGUAUGCUCGAACAAUUGAAAAGAUGCAUUACUAACGGCUUCAACAACCCUCCAUACAUGAAGGAAAAUGAGUACAGGGAAGAAUAAAAGCAUAAAGAAAUUACCUCUUCUUNGAGGAUCUAGGGAGAAACAAAUCAAAGAGAGCACCUCCCAUCGUCACAAAAUCUUUUGAGAAAGCGGUUGAAUCCAUUUUGGCGGUUCGAGUGGUGAGACGGAGAGGUGCUCCCCCUUGCACUCAAUACUUAAUCAAAUGGAAGGGAUUGCCCGAGUCCGAAGCUACUUGGGAAAAUGAGGGAGAUCUAUGGCAAUUUGAGUACGAGCUUCAGAACUACAUGGCGACGAGGGCGUCGCCAAAUUCGGUAGGGGAGUGACUUACGCCCCACGCGGUCGCGUUCGAUCCGUCCUGGUAGCGACCGCAAAACAGCGUAGACAGCACGCUGCAACAGGAUAGAAUGGACAGAAUGCAGGCUGCCUAAAAUUGUGCAGUUUUCCAUGGCGUUAAUGAGAUUUUUCUAAAUCCCGACCCAGCCAUUUUGGAGGAAAAAUACAUGAACCUGCAGCGGGAUAUUUUGUGAUGCAAGUAGGCAACUUGCACAACUUGUCCACUUGUGCCACUUGCAAGAUAUUAUCAGAGAUAAAAGCUAAGCGUGAGUUGGGGAAGAUAUUAUCAAAGGUGCAAGCCAAGCACGAGUUGACAAGAAUAAUAUCUACUAUGCAAGCUAAGAUCGAGUUGGCGACAACUUGCAAGGAAAGUUAUAAGCUUAUUCACUUGACGACAACUAAGCACGAGUUGUAAACAACUAGCACGAGUUGUGAACAACUAAGCGUAGGUUGUAAAGUAAUGCCACUUGAUCUUAAGGAGGUUUAAGUUUUGCCUAUAAAUAGAGAUGGAAGUCUCAUUUGUAAAUCAUGUAGAGUUGAGUGAGUUUAUUCAUUAGAGAGAUUGUAAAGUUUUCCCUUUCAUUUAUACAAAGAAAGUUUCCCGACCUUACUUGUUUUUCA
This 1831-nucleotide long non-coding RNA is filed under the name Olea europaea (common olive). RNAcentral describes it as "long non-coding RNA (OEUR_LNC001392)". The record is from RNAcentral. Lineage: Eukaryota; Viridiplantae; Streptophyta; Magnoliopsida; Lamiales; Oleaceae.